This 2716-nucleotide long non-coding RNA is filed under the name Homo sapiens (human). RNAcentral describes it as "HSALNT0153847". The record is from RNAcentral. Lineage: Eukaryota; Metazoa; Chordata; Mammalia; Primates; Hominidae.
UUGCAUUGUAAAAAAGGAGUCCAAAUCAAAUGAGAACUUUGGUGGAAGCAUCUCCUCUUGGGUCUCCAGGAAGGCAUCCCAGAACCACGCUAGGAAGGUGAGUGCAUGUGGGGAACUCGCAAGAUACUUGUAGGAUGGAACGUGAUACACGUCAUGGUCCAAUGACGGCCUCCACAACCCCCUCCGUGCUGGAGAAGAGAGCCGAACGUGGCACAUGGGCAUGCAACAUGUCCAAUAACCCAGGCAGGGUGGGGCCGCGGGGUCUGGCUCUCAGCCAGCUCCACCAGCGGAUUCCAGAUCUGCUGCGGUGGAUUGUAACAAAAAGUUUGCAGCUGAUUCUAGUCAAAAAACCACUGGGGGUUCUUUUCCCCUGAUGCAGUGUAACUGCAGACUCUUUUAAAACACAAAACAGGCACAGCACACAAACACACACACACACACACACGAAACAAGAAAAAUCCUGGCACUGGACUGCAAAUGGUUAGAGGGGUAACAAAAAAUGAGAAAGAAGCCAGCAAAUAACACGCAUGGGGUUUACUCAAGUAAAAAAAUAAAUGUCUUGGCUUAAAUAAGAGGGGUAUCUUUUGUUUGUUUUUUACCAGGAGGAUGUAGGCAUCAGAACCACUCACAAUGCUUUGUAAAAACCAAAACUGCCUGUGCUCUGCUCCCUACCUACGGAAACAGAAUCCUACACACAAGAGUGGCCCCCAGGAAUCUGAGCUGUUCAAAAGCUUCCCAGGUGUUUCUGAUUCACACAACCUGGGUUAAAAACCAAUCGCUUUGAUGACAGCUAGAAGCAGCAUUCAUAGAGGACUCUGAGGAGCAACACUAGAAUGACUGUUCGCCAGAAAUCAAGGAGAUCGGGCGUGCUGAAGGUUCUAGUACAUUCCAGAAUGUUCCUGCUUCCUGACAGGUGUUUGGCCACCACUGAACUUCACUUCUGAAUGUCAGGAUACCAUCUUGUAUACUCAUCUCACAAGAGACACAGUAUAAACAUGGCCAGAACUCUUGAUUCCUAUAAGAAAAACUAACCAUAGCAGCCUAGCAGGAGCCUGGGUAACAGGGCAAAACGCUGUCUCUAUUUUAAAAAAUACAAAAAAUUAGCCAGGGGUGGUGGCACACACCUGUGGUCCCAGCUACUAGGGAGGCUGAGGUGGGAGGAUCACUUGAGCCUGGGAGGUUGAGGCUGCAGUAAGCUGUGAUCACGCCACUGCACUCCAGCCUGGUUGACAGAGCCAGACCUUGUCUCCAAAAAAAAAGCCCAGGGGAAAUGGUGAUAACCAGUCAGUCUUUAAGGCAUUAUUUAGGGGUCAUCUCCCUAAGAACCACCCAGCAGCCUACAUAGCCUAUAUGUCACCACUGCAGUCCAUCACACAAACAACGACAAGGAGGCUCUGGGGAUAUCAAAAGCAGGAAAAGGCUUUGUAGAGAAUUUCACUGAUGGAAAAGGGUAGAGGGAAACUCCACAUUUAAAAUGUUACUCAAAUUUUCUUUUUCUUCUUCCCUGUUUCUGAAGUCCAAGACAUAGACAUGGGCAAACAAAACAAAAAAGAAAUUCAGGCCGGGCGCAGUGGCUCACACCUGUAAUCCCAGCACUUUGGGAGGCCAAAGCGGGUGGAUCACUUGAGGUCAGGAGUCUGAGACCAGCCUGGCUAACACAGCGAAACCCUGUCUCCAGUCAAAUAUAUAACAAUUAGCAGAGUGUGAUGGUGUGCGCCUGUAAUCCCAUCUACUCGGGUGGCUGAGGCAGGAGAAUCGCUUGAACCCAGGAGGUGGAGGCUGCAGUGACCCAAGAUCAUGCCACUGCACUCCAACCUAGGCAACACAGCAAGAUUUUGUUUCAAAAAAAAAAAAAAAAAAAAAAAAAGAAAUUCAGGGGAGUUAAAAGAUAACAUGAAGGGAUUUUAACAACUUUGCUAUAAUUACUCUGUUUUUCUUAAAGAGGUUCCUUGUAUUGUAACAAUCAAGAGAAUAUUUUGCAAUCUCUUAAAACAUAAGAUGGCGAUUAAGGACUGAGAAAUGCUUUUCCAAUAUCUGCCUUCCCUUUUUGUAGUUGAGAUAAAAAUAAAACGCCGCAGAGCAACCAAUUAAUUUACCCAGGGUCCAAGAAAAUAGAAGUGUGACAAGAAAAUGUAUCUUCUAAUUUCUAUUCACUCAGAAAAAUGUCAAAUUAAGCAAAGUUGUGGAUUUUUAACGGAACACGGAAGCACCGGAAAAGUACUAAUAACUCUUGCUGAGAAAUAGACAGCAGACAGAAGAAGAGGCAAACCCACAAUUGAGAAGAGCCAUAAAUGACAUGUAAGGCAAGCCCUGCUGGGCGGGAGCUUGUUCUGCAUCGUGGCCUACCUUGUAAACUCCUCACGAAGGUUGUUUGGUUCUGAAGAAUAGUAUUUAACUCGAAAGUGUAAAGCAUAAGCAGGUCCAACUAAACAUUUGGAGAUGGAAGGUUGAAGAUGUUUUUCCCCCAGUUUUGAAGAUCACAGGAUGGACAAAAGGGAAAGCACGUUAAAUCUAUAACAUUUAGCACAACAUCAGGACAGCAUAACUGGGCACGCGACACUAGCCAAUUCUUUUCAGUCCUCAUCAGGGAAACUGAGAUGGAUGGACUUUUGUGCUGACUAAGAUAGUUUAGCUAGUAACCUCAUUCCAGGAGAAAAACCCUAGUGAUUUAGACAGAUUACUAAAAGCUGACAUUUUAUUUUCACCCCUGAUGCCA